UUUGAGGUGACAGAUAUAUGUGAUAGGUUUAAAAUUUAUUAAUGGCUAUGCCCCUCAAAA
RNAcentral lists this transfer RNA (60 nucleotides) under Platorchestia japonica. RNAcentral describes it as "tRNA-Leu". Lineage: Eukaryota; Metazoa; Arthropoda; Malacostraca; Amphipoda; Talitridae. The record is from RNAcentral.